This 178-nucleotide ribosomal RNA is filed under the name Escherichia coli. RNAcentral describes it as "partial 16S ribosomal RNA". It matches the Rfam family "Bacterial small subunit ribosomal RNA", at positions 1356 to 1533 of the family's 1533-position model. Lineage: Bacteria; Pseudomonadati; Pseudomonadota; Gammaproteobacteria; Enterobacterales; Enterobacteriaceae. The record is from RNAcentral. RNAcentral also lists the same sequence under 3 other names.
GCCACGGUGAAUACGUUCCCGGGCCUUGUACACACCGCCCGUCACACCAUGGGAGUGGGUUGCAAAAGAAGUAGGUAGCUUAACCUUCGGGAGGGCGCUUACCACUUUGUGAUUCAUGACUGGGGUGAAGUCGUAACAAGGUAACCGUAGGGGAACCUGCGGUUGGAUCACCUCCUUA